Nicotiana tabacum (common tobacco) is the source of this 839-nucleotide non-coding RNA. The record is from RefSeq and is a predicted model, not a curated record. Lineage: Eukaryota; Viridiplantae; Streptophyta; Magnoliopsida; Solanales; Solanaceae.
CUUAAUCUGGAUCAUUGGUUCCCAUCAUCCAAUGGCCUAGAUUAAUCAACAGAUUUUCAAUAUACCAAAACACCCAAACCCCUUUCACUCACCUCAUUUUCACCCUUUCGUCUCCAAAUCAGAGACUAAAACGACCCCCAACCAAACCCUAGCCGCCCUCAUACCCCUUCACCUGAAAGCCGGCGAAAACGAUGUCGGUGACCAUGAAACUCACACCUCUGAACCACCAAACCAUCCCCUCUCCGAAUCCACGCUCAUUUUUCUUCGAAUCACCCACGAGCCCCUCGAAUCUUAGAUCAAAGAAAUCGACCCAAACCCUAGUUCAUCUAAAAUCGACCCCACAUCAACACCACAUACCCCCCAUGAAUCCUUCAUAACAAAUUCAUCAUGGAUUCCUUUCGAAUCAGACCAAAGUUCGUCGAAUAUCAAAUCUAAGUUCAAGCUUUAGAACCCUAAAUUGGGACCAGUGUGCAAGGGAGUCAUUCGUUUGGAUUUCUUGGUUUAUUCAAGUCUGUUUCAGCAUAAAAUAAUGAUGCACGUUUGUUCUCCAACAAGAUCAAAUGUUUGGCAUUAUGUUGUGUUGACUCAGCAUGUCAUUUCCCAGUUCGAUCCUGGCCGGUACACAGCUUGAUCUUGGGUAAUUGUGAACUGAAAUGCGAAGAAUGAACCUGUAAUUGAAGCAUGAGAUCAUUUGAUUUAGUUUUCUGGUUUAUGUAUCAGAAUGUCUGACUCCUUAAUGUUAUUAAGACCUUUGCUUAAAGUUGUACUAGUUGGAUCGAAAUUGUUUAUGUCGUAAUAAACUAAAAACUGUUUGUAUUAGCAUGGAAUGUUAAUCGUUC